UUGGAUAAUAGUUAAAUUAACAUUUAAUUUGCAUUUAAAAAAUAUUGAAAAUUCAAUUUAUCUU
RNAcentral lists this transfer RNA (64 nucleotides) under Discolomatidae sp. 4 ACP-2013. Its description in RNAcentral is "tRNA-Ala". Lineage: Eukaryota; Metazoa; Arthropoda; Insecta; Coleoptera; Discolomatidae. The record is from RNAcentral.